Molecule: ribosomal RNA, 615 nt
Filed under: uncultured bacterium
Lineage: Bacteria
Description: bacterial SSU rRNA
Rfam family: Bacterial small subunit ribosomal RNA (bases 1-520)
Source: RNAcentral
CCUACGGGAGGCAGCAGUGGGGAAUCUUGCGCAAUGGGCGAAAGCCUGACGCAGCAACGCCGCGUGCGGGAAGAAGGCUCUCGGGUUGUAAACCGCUUUCAGCAGGAACGAAAAUGACGGUACUUGCAGAAGAAGGUGCGGCCAACUACGUGCCAGCAGCCGCGGUGACACGUAGGCACCAAGCGUUGUCCGGAUUUAUUGGGCGUAAAGAGCUCGUAGGCGGUUCGGUAAGUCAGGUGUGAAAACUUUGGGCUCAACCCAAAGCCUGCAUCUGAUACUGCUGUGACUAGAGUUCGGUAGGGGAGCGGGGAAUUCCUAGUGUAGUGGUGAAAUGCGCAGAUAUUAGGAGGAACACCGGUGGCGAAGGCGCCGCUCUGGGCCGAAACUGACGCUGAGGAGCGAAAGCGUGGGUAGCAAACAGGAUUAGAUACCCUGGUAGUCCACGCCGUAAACGUUGGGCACUAGGUGUGGGUUUCACCAACGAAAUCCGCGCCGUCGCUAACGCAUUAAGUGCCCCGCCGUCGGGAGGUACGGCCGCGAACGGUAAACGUACGAAAGGAAAGUAGACGGCGUGUAAGGACGUCGCCGAACGGACGACGACGAAGGGAGGUUAGG